RNAcentral lists this ribosomal RNA (445 nucleotides) under uncultured bacterium. RNAcentral's name for it is "partial 16S ribosomal RNA". It matches the Rfam family "Bacterial small subunit ribosomal RNA", at positions 354 to 796 of the family's 1533-position model. The record is from RNAcentral.
GUGAGGAAUAUUGGACAAUGGGCGCAAGCCUGAUCCAGCCAUGCCGCGUGCAGGAAGACGCAUCUAUGGUGUGUAAACUGCUUUUGUACGGGAAGAAACACUCCCUCGUGAGGGAGCUUGACGGUACCGUAAGAAUAAGGAUCGGCUAAAUCCGUGCCAGCAGCCGCGGUAAUACGGAGGAUCCAAGCGUUAUCCGGAAUCAUUGGGUUUAAAGGGUCCGUAGGCGGUUUAAUAAGUCAGUGGUGAAAGCCCAUCGCUCAACGAUGGAACGGCCAUUGAUACUGUUAGACUUGAAUUACAAGGAAGUAACUAGAAUAUGUAGUGUAGCGGUGAAAUGCUUAGAUAUUACAUGGAAUACCAAUUGCGAAGGCAGGUUACUACUUGUGGAUUGACGCUGAUGGACGAAAGCGUGGGGAGCGAACAGGAUUAGAAACCCGAGUAGUCC